RNAcentral lists this ribosomal RNA (301 nucleotides) under uncultured bacterium. Its description in RNAcentral is "partial 16S ribosomal RNA". It matches the Rfam family "Bacterial small subunit ribosomal RNA", at positions 509 to 807 of the family's 1533-position model. The record is from RNAcentral.
CAGUAGCCACGGUAAAACGGAGGGGGCUAGCGUUGUUCGGAAUUACUGGGCGUAAAGCGCACGUAGGCGGCUUGGUAAGUUAGAGGUGAAAGCCCGGAGCUCAACUCCGGAAUUGCCUUUAAGACUGCCGAGCUAGUAGGUGAGAGAGGUAAGUGGAAUUCCGAGUGUAGAGGUGAAAUUCGUAGAUAUUCGGAAGAACACCAGUGGCGAAGGCGGCUUACUGGCUCAUUCUAGACGCUGAGGUGCGAAAGCGUGGGGAGCAAACAGGAUUAGAUACCCCGGUAGUCCCUGUCUCUUAUAC